RNAcentral lists this ribosomal RNA (614 nucleotides) under uncultured organism. Its description in RNAcentral is "bacterial SSU rRNA". It matches the Rfam family "Bacterial small subunit ribosomal RNA", at positions 842 to 1469 of the family's 1533-position model. The record is from RNAcentral.
CGUUCCGUAGCUAACGCGCUAAGUAUCCCGCCUGGGGACUACGGCCGCAAGGCUAAAACUCAAAGGAAUUGACGGGAGCCCGCACAAGCAGCGGAGCGUGUGGUCUAAUUCGAUGCUACGCGAAGAACCUUACCAGGGCUUGACAUGCAAGUAGUAGUGAAGCGAAAGCGGAACGACCCUUCGGGGAGCUUGCACAGGUGCUGCAUGGCUGUCGUCAGCUCGUGCCGUGAGGUGUUAGGUUAAGUCCUGUAACGAGCGCAACCCCUACUGUUAGUUACAUGUGUCUGGCGGGACUGCCCGGCUCAACCGGGAGGAAGGUGGGGAUGACGUCAAGUCAGCAUGGCCUUUAUGUCCUGGGCUACACACACGCUACAAUGGCCGGUACAAUGGGUAGCCAAGCCGCGAGGCGGAGCCAAUCCUCCAAAGCCGGUCUCAGUUCGAAUUGUAGGCUGCAACUCGCCUACAUGAAGCUGGAGUUGCUAGUAACCGCAGGUCAGCCACACUGCGGUGAUACGUUCCCGGGCUUUGUACACACCGCCCGUCACGUCAUGGGAGUCGGCAACACCUGAAGCCGGUGGGCCAACCGAAAGGAGGCAGCCGUCGAAGGUGGGGCU